Long non-coding RNA from Grus americana (Whooping crane), 308 nucleotides. RefSeq lists it as uncharacterized. The transcript has 3 exons. NCBI's taxonomy places the organism in Eukaryota, Metazoa, Chordata, Aves, Gruiformes, Gruidae. The record is from RefSeq and is a predicted model, not a curated record.
UUUGUCUGCAUGCACAAAGAAGAAAAGCCUUUUGUUCCACUAGUCAUCUCAUAAUGAAACGUCUGGCCUCCAGAAGCGCCGAGGAUGUCGUGAUCUCAUCGGAGUUGCAAGGUCCCUUAUGUCUACGGCUGUAUUUCAAAGCAACACUCCCCACUACAGGUCAUCAGUGAGAAAGAGGGAAAGCCACGGCCAUCGUGUGAGGAAGGCAGCUAGAAGUCACAGAUCUGGGUGGACAGAAACUUUGAGGAAAAAACAAUUGCCUUUGAGCUCUCUGUUGUAAGUGGAAUAAAUCUGAAGACCAAAUCCGA